AAGUUCAGACAAUACGUUUGAAUUAAGUUUUAAGUUUUCUCUUGUAAAAACUUUCUUGUGAAAAAUAAAUAAUAAUAGCUUUGGUUUGAAGACAAUCUUCAAGGUACUGCAAAAAGAUGAUAUGGAGAAGAGAUACCAAUAUCUCGUUAAUUUUGCUGGUACUGGUUUCCUACAAAAGAUGAUAUGGAGAGGUUUAUAAACCUUCCAUUUUUUACUUUUCCCUCGUCUUUUAAUUUCUCACCAAAAAGCUUCCCAGAAAUCCUUUUCCACAUUUUUACUGUUACGCUCAUAGACUCUAGUCUGGCUGAGGCUAAACCAGUUAAAGCCAUUUCCACCAUAUUUUGCUUUUCCACUGAGUGAAAGACGAAGUGCAGGUACUACAAAGGAUGAAAUGGAGAGAUCAUAGGCCUUUUCUACUUCCCCAUUUCUUUUUUUCUUUUGGAAACAAAUAUACUCAAAUAUUUCCCACAUUUUUCUUUUCCUUUCAAGCCUAUCGACACUACUAUAUCUAUGGACUAAACAUUUAAGCUGUUCUACCAUAUUUUGCUUAUUUAUAAUACUUUUGAGUAAAGAUACAGUACCUUCCUCAUCAUCCCCACACCAUCCACGCGUCAGUUUUUCUCCAAAUUGGGUUGUGGGGUUCUAUCAUUGUGAGAACUUGUGAAACGUUAAACACAAAAAUUGAUUUGAGAUAGUGACAUGACAUUCUUCUCUUAUGAUGAAGAAACAGAUUUUACAAAAAAUGCAUUCACUGUCUUGCAAGCAGCUAAUAUAUGAACUUUUUACAGCAUUUUUUAACGAAUAUUUAGUUGUUAAUAGAGACAUCCCUCCUCCUUUACUUGAAUUAGCUUACUUGCAAAAAUUCAAAUAAAAGGACAAAUAAGGGAACAAUAUAGUAAAACCAUAUUGUUCUGAAUAGUCCUGAGUAUGUAGUUCUAUAAGCAGUUACUUGACAAUGUUUUUCUUUAGACUAUUACAUGAAUAUACAUCCAUUGCAACUGAUAUGCUGUCCAAAGCUCUUUUACUGAUGUUCUAACAUCAAGUUUGCAAUAGGAAGAAAGAAAAUACAUUUAGUCUCAAAUUGGAUGGAUGGGUUGCAAUCUUAUAGAUCAGAUUAUUAAGAAAGCAAAAGAGGAGCAGGAAUUUUAGGACGUAAUGAACAUCUCCCAAUGCGGGAAAAUAUAUUUAUAACAAAUAAGGAUGUGGAAACUGACAGCCCAAAUGUUUCAUAUAAUUAUAACAUAAGGGUCUCAUAAGUGUAAUCAUAUGAAUAAGUUACACACGUCCUGCUAUUAAGUGUCUCCAUUUUGUAUGAAAGUAAAUCCUGUGCCUCCACCAAAAGUUGGCAUAAGAGUCUUCAAUCUAGAGGAGUGCGGAGUGCCAUUUGUGAGAAGGAACACAUAGACAAUAUUCAAAAGAUUGACGAGAAACCAAAAGAUCAGGGAUCAGUCAAUUGUUGUUUCCUGGUGUUCACUUUUACAUGAACACAUAGGAUAAAUACAUGGCAAUGAUAAAAUAGUCAAAGCUAUGAUCAAAUCAUCCAUCACGUAUAUACACCGAUAGAAUGCUAGACCCGAAUCAUUUAGGA
This is a long non-coding RNA of Solanum pennellii, 1588 nucleotides long. RefSeq lists it as uncharacterized. The record is from RefSeq and is a predicted model, not a curated record. The transcript has 2 exons. NCBI's taxonomy places the organism in Eukaryota, Viridiplantae, Streptophyta, Magnoliopsida, Solanales, Solanaceae.